Molecule: long non-coding RNA, 348 nt
Organism: Calidris pugnax (ruff)
Lineage: Eukaryota; Metazoa; Chordata; Aves; Charadriiformes; Scolopacidae
Exons: 3
Source: RefSeq, a predicted model, not a curated record
ACAGGGACUAAAACGAGUGCCUACCACCACCUCAGGCUGAAAAUUGGGGUAGACCUGGCAUCAAAGGGAUGCAGCAGUUAUGCUGGUAUUGGAGCCUCUGCACUUUGCUCAUCAGAGGAAUGGGAAGAACAGAUUGAAUAAGUUACAGGAUGGUGCCAAGGCCCCAAGCCAUGAUCCUGGAGCCAGUCUUUUGUGAAAGCCCCAUCCAAAGUUCAAGAUGUACUGUUGGAGAUCAUCCUUUCUGAGUGCUGGGCUGAUAUUCUUUGCAGUGACAGCCACGGGAUUGCUCAUUAAGCCCCGAGAGGGCAGCGUUGCUGGAGGAACAUGGAUUACUAUUACCCUGGAUGG